RNAcentral lists this transfer RNA (68 nucleotides) under Pestalotiopsis fici W106-1. RNAcentral describes it as "tRNA-Und (NNN) (tRNA-Und-NNN-1-1)". It matches the Rfam family "tRNA". From Rfam's summary of the family: Transfer RNA (tRNA) molecules are approximately 80 nucleotides in length. Their secondary structure includes four short double-helical elements and three loops (D, anti-codon, and T loops). The record is from RNAcentral. Lineage: Eukaryota; Fungi; Ascomycota; Sordariomycetes; Amphisphaeriales; Sporocadaceae.
AACCUAGUAGCACAACUGGUAGUGCACCAAAUAAGGGGAGGUUCUGGGUUCGAUCCCCAGCUACGUUA